GAUGAACGCUGGCGGCGUGCCUAAUACAUGCAAGUCGAGCGAACGGACGAGAAGCUUGCUUCUCUGAUGUUAGCGGCGGACGGGUGAGUAACACGUGGAUAACCUACCUAUAAGACUGGGAUAACUUCGGGAAACCGGAGCUAAUACCGGAUAAUAUUUUGAACCGCAUGGUUCAAAAGUGAAAGACGGUCUUGCCGUCACUUAUAGAUGGAUCCGCGCUGCAUUAGCUAGUUGGUAAGGCAACGGCUUACCAAGGCAACGAUGCAUAGCCGACCUGAGAGGGUGAUCGGCCACACUGGAACUGAGACACGGUCCAGACUCCUACGGGAGGCAGCAGUAGGGAAUCUUCCGCAAUGGGCGAAAGCCUGACGGAGCAACGCCGCGUGAGUGAUGAAGGUCUUCGGAUCGUAAAACUCUGUUAUUAGGGAAGAACAUAUGUGUAAGUAACUGUGCACAUCUUGACGGUACCUAAUCAGAAAGCCACGGCUAACUACGUG
RNAcentral lists this ribosomal RNA (497 nucleotides) under uncultured bacterium. RNAcentral describes it as "partial 16S ribosomal RNA". It matches the Rfam family "Bacterial small subunit ribosomal RNA", at positions 28 to 507 of the family's 1533-position model. The record is from RNAcentral.